ACUUAUUUUGGUCAUUAAUAUAACUUGCUUGAAAGUUUGUAGUUAAAAAAAUAAUUAGGAUAUGAGUACGGGAUAGAAAUUAGUUAUUGGCGAUAGAGAAGGAGUACUGUGAAGGAAAAUUGAAAUAAUAAAAUAAUUAAGUUGGAAGUAUAGGUAAAAUUUAGUACCUUGUGUAUUAGGGAUAUUUUAUAUUAUGUAGUUAAAUUUAUUUUUCCCGAAAUAAGGGGAGCUAAGUUGAAAGGUGAGUUUUUGUAGUAAAAAAAUUUACAAUUUUAUUUUAGUAGUGAGAUGUUAAUCGAACCUUAAGAUAUCUGGUUUUCUUUGAAAAAAAUUUAAUUUUUUCUUUAUGUUAGAAGUGUGGGUAAGGCAUAGGGGUAGGGGGGUAAAGCUCUUUACACGAUAGGUUUUAAUUAUAAGGAUGAGUAUAGAUGAUACUGGGCUAGGCUUAGAAGUAGCCAUGCUUCCAAAGGGUUAUACUUGAGGUAGGUGUUAAAAAUAUUUAUUUGUUUUUUAGGGAAGUAGAAGGAAACGGUUAAAACUUUAAUUUAAUGGUUUAAAAUGAGUAUAUUAGUAUAUUAUAUUGUUUAUGAUUUUAUUGUAUUAAGUUGGAAAAUUAUAUUGUAGGUAGUAACGAAAAUUAAGGAAUUCGGCAAAGGAGAUGUUUCCGCCUGUUUAUCAAAAACAUGUCUAUAUGAUAGAUUUAUAAAGUCUGGCCUGCCCAUUGAGGUUUUGAAAGGCCGCGGUAUUGUGACCGUGCAAAGGUAGCAUAAUCAUUAGUCUUUUAAUUGAAGGCUGGUAUGAAUGGUUGGACGAGAAAUUAACUGUCUCAAAUUUUGAAAAUUGAAUUUUACUUUUAAGUGAGAAGGCUUAAAUGUGCUAGAGGGACGAUAAGACCCUAUAAAGUUUUGUACAUUAAACCAAUUAAUAGGCGAUUUAGGUUUGUAAGGUUUACUAUUAGGUAGAUGUUUGGUUGGGGCGACUAGGAUAUAAGUUAUUUAACUGUUCUUUGUUAGAAUCAAAGGUAUUUGAGUUUAUGAUCCUUUUUAAGGGUUAUAGAAUAAAUUACUUUAGGGAUAACAGCGUAAUUUUUUUUGAGAGUUCCUAUCGACAAAAGAGUUUGCGACCUCGAUGUUGAAUUAAAAUUUCUUUGUGGCGUAGAAGUUACAGGAGAAGGUCUGUUCGACCUUUAAAUUUUUACAUGAUUUGAGUUCAGACCGGUGAAAGCCAGGUUGGUUUCUAUCUUCUAGGGCAGGUGUAAUUAUUCUAGUACGAAAGGAUUGAGUAAUUGAAAUAGUUUCAAAAAGGUAAAAGUUAAUUAAACGAUGAAAAUUUCUUGAAGAGAAGUUGGUCAGAAAAAAGCAAAAGCUUAAC
Molecule: ribosomal RNA, 1371 nt
Filed under: Cherax robustus
Lineage: Eukaryota; Metazoa; Arthropoda; Malacostraca; Decapoda; Parastacidae
Description: l-rRNA
Rfam family: Archaeal large subunit ribosomal RNA (bases 620-1371)
Source: RNAcentral